CCUACGGGGUGCAGCAGUGGGGAAUAUUGGACAAUGGGCGAAAGCCUGAUCCAGCCAUGCCGCGUGUGUGAAGAAGGCCUUCGGGUUGUAAAGCACUUUCAGUGGGGAAGAAAGCCUUGGGGCUAAUACCCUCGAGGAAGGACAUCACCCACAGAAGAAGCACCGGCUAACUCCGUGCCAGCAGCCGCGGUAAUACGGAGGGUGCGAGCGUUAAUCGGAAUUACUGGGCGUAAAGCGCGCGUAGGCGGUCUGAUAAGCCGGUUGUGAAAGUCCCGGGCUCAACCUGGGAACGGCAUCCGGAACUGUCAGGCUAGAGUGCAGGAGAGGAAGGUAGAAUUCCCGGUGUAGCGGUGAAAUGCGUAGAGAUCGGGAGGAAUACCAGUGGCGAAGGCGGCUUUCUGGACUGACACUGACGCUGAGGUGUGAAAGCGUGGGUAGCAAACAGGAUUAGAUACCCUAGUAGUC
This 465-nucleotide ribosomal RNA is filed under the name Vreelandella stevensii. Its description in RNAcentral is "partial 16S ribosomal RNA". It matches the Rfam family "Bacterial small subunit ribosomal RNA", at positions 338 to 795 of the family's 1533-position model. Lineage: Bacteria; Pseudomonadati; Pseudomonadota; Gammaproteobacteria; Oceanospirillales; Halomonadaceae. The record is from RNAcentral.